RNAcentral lists this transfer RNA (77 nucleotides) under Candidatus Dormiibacterota bacterium. RNAcentral describes it as "tRNA-Arg". It matches the Rfam family "tRNA". From Rfam's summary of the family: Transfer RNA (tRNA) molecules are approximately 80 nucleotides in length. Their secondary structure includes four short double-helical elements and three loops (D, anti-codon, and T loops). Further hydrogen bonds mediate the characteristic L-shaped molecular structure. tRNAs have two regions of fundamental functional importance: the anti-codon, which is responsible for specific mRNA codon recognition, and the 3' end, to which the tRNAs corresponding amino acid is attached (by aminoacyl-tRNA synthetases). tRNAs cope with the degeneracy of the genetic code in two manners: having more than one tRNA (with a specific anti-codon) for a particular amino acid; and 'wobble' base-pairing, i.e. permitting non-standard base-pairing at the 3rd anti-codon position. RNAcentral also lists the same sequence under 1 other name. Lineage: Bacteria; Bacillati; Candidatus Dormiibacterota. The record is from RNAcentral.
GUCCCCGUAGCUCAGCCUGGAUAGAGCACUGGCCUCCGAAGCCAGGAGCACAGGUUCAAAUCCUGUCGGGGACACCA